GGUUGUCCCGGUUUAAGCGUGUAGGUGUGUGUUCCAGGUAAAUCCGGUUCACUUUAACACUGAGGCGUGAUGACGAGGCACUACGGUGCUGAAGCAACAAAUGCCCUGCUUCCAGGAAAAGCCUCUAAGCAUCAGGUAACAUCAAAUCGUACCCCAAACCGACACAGGUGGUCAGGUAGAGAAUACCAAGGCGCUUGAGAGAACUCGGGUGAAGGAACUAGGCAAAAUGGUGCCGUAACUUCGGGAGAAGGCACGCUGACACGUAGGUGAAGUGAUUUACUCACGGAGCUGAAGUCAGUCGAAGAUACCAGCUGGCUGCAACUGUUUAUUAAAAACACAGCACUGUGCAAACACGAAAGUGGACGUAUACGGUGUGACGCCUGCCCGGUGCCGGAAGGUUAAUUGAUGGGGUCAGCGCAAGCGAAGCUCCUGAUCGAAGCCCCGGUAAACGGCGGCCGUAACUAUAACGGUCCUAAGGUAGCGAAAUUCCUUGUCGGGUAAGUUCCGACCUGCACGAAUGGCGUAAUGAUGGCCAGGCUGUCUCCACCCGAGACUCAGUGAAAUUGAACUCGCUGUGAAGAUGCAGUGUACCCGCGGCAAGACGGAAAGACCCCGUGAACCUUUACUAUAGCUUGACACUGAACAUUGAGCCUUGAUGUGUAGGAUAGGUGGGAGGCUUUGAAGCGUGGACGCCAGUCUGCGUGGAGCCAACCUUGAAAUACCACCCUUUAAUGUUUGAUGUUCUAACGUGGACCCGUAUCCGGGUUGCGGACAGUGUCUGGUGGGUAGUUUGACUGGGGCGGUCUCCUCCUAAAGAGUAACGGAGGAGCACGAAGGUUGGCUAAUCCUGGUCGGACAUCAGGAGGUUAGUGCAAUGGCAUAAGCCAGCUUGACUGCGAGCGUGACGGCGCGAGCAGGUGCGAAAGCAGGUCAUAGUGAUCCGGUGGUUCUGAAUGGAAGGGCCAUCGCUCAACGGAUAAAAGGUACUCCGGGGAUAACAGGCUGAUACCGCCCAAGAGUUCAUAUCGACGGCGGUGUUUGGCACCUCGAUGUCGGCUCAUCACAUCCUGGGGCUGAAGUAGGUCCCAAGGGUAUGGCUGUUCGCCAUUUAAAGUGGUACGCGAGCUGGGUUUAGAACGUCGUGAGACAGUUCGGUCCCUAUCUGCCGUGGGCGCUGGAGAACUGAGGGGGGCUGCUCCUAGUACGAGAGGACCGGAGUGGACGCAUCACUGGUGUUCGGGUUGUCAUGCCAAUGGCACUGCCCGGUAGCUAAAUGCGGAAGAGAUAAGUGCUGAAAGCAUCUAAGCACGAAACUUGCCCCGAGAUGAGUUCUCCCUGAGACUUAGAGUCUCCUGAAGGAACGUUGAAGACGACGACGUUGAUAGGCCG
Molecule: ribosomal RNA, 1389 nt
Filed under: Salmonella enterica subsp. enterica serovar Heidelberg str. N18453
Lineage: Bacteria; Pseudomonadati; Pseudomonadota; Gammaproteobacteria; Enterobacterales; Enterobacteriaceae
Description: bacterial LSU rRNA
Rfam family: Bacterial large subunit ribosomal RNA
Source: RNAcentral